UCGGUUGAUCCUGCCGGAGGUUACUGCUAUCGGAGUUCGAUUAAGCCAUGCGAGUCUAAAGGUUUCUUCGGAAACCUUGGCGGACUGCUCAGUAACACGUGGAUAACCUACCCUUGGGACUGGAAUAACCCCGGGAAACUGGGGAUAAUACCGGAUAGAUCAGGGAUGCUGGAAUGCACCUUGAUCCAAAGCUCCGGCGCCCAAGGAUGGGUCUGCGGCCUAUCAGGUAGUAGUGGGUGUAACGUACCUACUAGCCAACGACGGGUACGGGUUGUGAGAGCAAGAGCCCGGAGAUGGAUUCUGAGACACGAAUCCAGGCCCUACGGGGUGCAGCAGGCGCGAAACCUUUACAAUGUGCGAAAGCAUGAUAAGGGAACUCCGAGUGCCAGCAUCUAAUGUUGGCUGUCCUUGUGCCUAAAACGCACAAGAUAGCAAGGGCCGGGUAAGACCGGUGCCAGCCGCCGCGGUAACACCGGCGGCCCGAGUGGUAGCCGCUAUUAUUGGGUCUAAAGGGUCCGUAGCCGGUUCGAUAAGUCCUCUGGGAAAUCUGGUUGCUUAACAAUCAGACUGCCAAGGGAUACUGUCGAACUUGAGACCGGGAGAGGUAAGAGGUACUUCAGGGGUAGGAGUGAAAUCUUGUAAUCCCUGGGGGACCAUCUGUGGCGAAGGCGUCUUACCAGAACGGGUCUGACGGUGAGGGACGAAAGCUGGGGGCGCAAACCGGAUUAGAUACCCGGGUAGUCCCAGCCGUAAACGAUGCUCGCUAUGUGUCAGGUACGGUGUGACCGUAUCUGGUGCCGCAGGGAANCCGUGAANCGAGCCACCUGGNAAGUACNNCNGCAAG
Molecule: ribosomal RNA, 844 nt
Filed under: uncultured archaeon
Lineage: Archaea
Description: bacterial SSU rRNA
Rfam family: Archaeal small subunit ribosomal RNA
Source: RNAcentral